CAGCAGCCGCGGUAAUACGUAGGUCCCGAACGUUGUCCGGAUUUAUUGGGCGUAGAGCGAGCGCAGGCGGUUAGAUAAGUCUGAAGUUAAAGGCUGUGGCUUAACCAUAGUACGCUUUGGAAACUGUUUAACUUGAGUGCAAGAGGGGAGAGUGGAAUUCCAUGUGUAGCGGUGAAAUGCGUAGAUAUAUGGAGGAACACCGGUGGCGAAAGCGGCUCUCUGGCUUGUAACUGACGCUGAGGCUCGAAAGCGUGGGGAGCAAACAGGAUUAGAUACCCGGGUAGUCCCUGUCUCUUAUACC
Molecule: ribosomal RNA, 301 nt
Filed under: uncultured bacterium
Lineage: Bacteria
Description: partial 16S ribosomal RNA
Rfam family: Bacterial small subunit ribosomal RNA
Source: RNAcentral